CCGGUUGAUCCCGCCAGAGGUCACUGCUAUUGGGAUUCGACUAAGCCAUGCGAGUCGCGAGGGUUCGGCCCUCGGCUGACGGCUCAGUAACACGCGGAUAAUCUGCCCUUAGGUGGAGGAUAACCUCGGGAAACUGAGAAUAACACUCCAUAGAUCUAGGAGGCUGGAAUGCACUUAGACCAAAAACUUCGGUGCCUAAGGAUGAGUCUGCGGACUAUCAGGUAGUAGUCAGGGUAAUGACCUGACCAGCCUACGACGGAUACGGGUUGUGAGAGCAAUAACCCGGAGAUGAUAUCUGAGACACGAUAUCAGGCCCUACGGGGCGCAGCAGGCGCGAAAACUUCACACUGUGCGAAAGCACGAUGAGGGAAUCCCAAGUGCUGGCUCGUAAGAGUCAGCUGUUUUUCUGUCUAGAAAACAGAGAGAGUAAGGGCUGGGUAAGACGGGUGCCAGCCGCCGCGGUAAUACCUGCAGCCCGAGUGGUGGCCGCUAUUAUUGGGCCUAAAACGUCCGUAGCCGGUCUAGUAAAUGCCUGGGUAAAUCGUACGGCUUAACCGUACGAAUUCCGGGUAGACUGCUGGACUUGGGACUGGGAGAGGCUAGAGGUACUCCUGGGGUAGAGGUGAAAUUCUGUAAUCCUAGGGGGACGACCAGUGGCGAAGGCGUCUAGCUAGAACAGGUCUGACGGUGAGGGACGAAGCCCUGGGGCGCAAACGGGAUUAGAUACCCCGGUAGUCCAGGGUGUAAACGCUGCUUGCUUGAUGUUAGUCGGGCUCCGAGCCCGAUUAGUGUCGGAGAGAAGUUGUUAAGCAAGCUGCCUGGGGAGUACGGCCGCAAGACUGAAACUUAAAGGAAUUGGCGGGGGAGCACCGCAACGGGUGGAGCGUGCGGUUUAAAUGGAUUCAACGCCGG
This 912-nucleotide ribosomal RNA is filed under the name uncultured archaeon. RNAcentral's name for it is "bacterial SSU rRNA". It matches the Rfam family "Archaeal small subunit ribosomal RNA", at positions 4 to 921 of the family's 1478-position model. The record is from RNAcentral.